Molecule: non-coding RNA, 36 nt
Organism: Nitratiruptor tergarcus DSM 16512
Lineage: Bacteria; Pseudomonadati; Campylobacterota; Epsilonproteobacteria; Nautiliales; Nitratiruptoraceae
Source: Rfam
GUCUCAAUCCCCUUAAAAUCGGGUCAUCGGUGUAAU